Molecule: ribosomal RNA, 373 nt
Filed under: uncultured organism
Description: bacterial SSU rRNA
Rfam family: Bacterial small subunit ribosomal RNA
Source: RNAcentral
CGUAGGUGGCGAACGUUAUCCGGAAUUAUUGGGCGUAAAGGGUGCGUAGAUGGCAUGAUAAGUUAUUAGUGGGAAAUCGAGGCUCAACCUCGUGGAAGCUAGUAAUACUGUUUUGCUUGAGUGCAGAAGAGGUUAACGGAACUCCAUGUGGAGCGGUAAAAUGCGUAGAUAUAUGGAAGAACAUCAAUAACGGCGAAGGCAGUUAACUAUUCUGUUACUGACAUUGAGGCACGAAAGCGUGGGGAGCAAAACGGAUUAGAUACCCGUGUAGUCCACGCCCUAAACGAUGAGUACUAGAUAUUGGGAACUUGCUUCACAGUGUCGCUAGGUAACCCGGUAAGUACUCCGCCUGGGUAGUACGGUCGCAAGGCUG